RNAcentral lists this ribosomal RNA (497 nucleotides) under uncultured bacterium. Its description in RNAcentral is "partial 16S ribosomal RNA". It matches the Rfam family "Bacterial small subunit ribosomal RNA", at positions 28 to 507 of the family's 1533-position model. The record is from RNAcentral.
GAUGAACGCUGGCGGCGUGCCUAAUACAUGCAAGUAGAACGCUGAAGCUUGGUGCUUGCACCGAGCGGAUGAGUUGCGAACGGGUGAGUAACGCGUAGGUAACCUGCCUCUUAGCGGGGGAUAACUAUUGGAAACGAUAGCUAAUACCGCAUAAAAGUCGAUAUCGCAUGAUAUUGAUUUGAAAGGUGCAAAUGCAUCACUAAGAGAUGGACCUGCGUUGUAUUAGCUAGUUGGUGAGGUAACGGCUCACCAAGGCGACGAUACAUAGCCGACCUGAGAGGGUUAUCGGCCACACUGGGACUGAGACACGGCCCAGACUCCUACGGGAAGCAGCAGUAGGGAAACUUCGGCAAUGGGGGCAACCCUGAACGAGCAACGCCGCGUGAGUGAAGAAGGGUUUCGGAUCGUAAAGCUCUGUUGUAAGAGAAGAACGAGUGUGAGAGUGGAAAGUUCACACUGUGACGGUAACUUACCAGAAAGGGACGGCUAACUACGUG